Molecule: ribosomal RNA, 538 nt
Filed under: uncultured bacterium
Lineage: Bacteria
Description: bacterial SSU rRNA
Rfam family: Bacterial small subunit ribosomal RNA
Source: RNAcentral
CGUAAACGUUGGGAACUAGUUGUGGGGUCCAUUCCACGGAUUCCGUGACGCAGCUAACGCAUUAAGUUCCCCGCCUGGGGAGUACGGCCGCAAGGCUAGAACUCAAAGGAAUUGACGGGGACCCGCACAAGCGGCGGAGCAUGCGGAUUAAUUCGAUGCAACGCGAAGAACCUUACCAAGACUUGACGUAUACGAGAACGGGCCAGAAAUGGUCAACUCUUUGGACACUCGUAAACAGGUGGUGCAUGGUUGUCGUCAGCUCGUGUCGUGAGAUGUUGGGUUAAGUCCCGCAACGAGCGCAACCCUCGUUCUAUGUUGCCAGCACGUAAUGGUGGGAACUCAUGGGAUACUGCCGGGGUCAACUCGGAGGAAGGUGGGGAUGACGUCAAAUCAUCAUGCCCCUUAUGUCUUGGGCUUCACGCAUGCUACAAUGGCCGGUACAAAGGGCUGCAAUACCGCGAGGUGGAGCGAAUCCCAAAAAGCCGGUCCCAGUUCGGAUUGAGGUCUGCAACUCGACCUCAUGAAGUCGGAGUCGCUA